UCCUACGGGACGCAGCAGUGGGGGAUAUUGCACAAUGGGGGGAACCCUGAUGCAGCGACGCCGCGUGGGCGAUGGAGUGCUUCGGCAUGUAAAGCCCUAUCAGCAGGGAAGAAAAUGACGGUACCUGACUAAGAAGCCCCGGCUAAAUACGUGCCAGCAGCCGCGGUAAUACGUAUGGGGCAAGCGUUAUCCGGAUUUACUGGGUUUAAAGGGUGCGCAGGCGGCACGGCAAGCCGGCGGUCAAAUCGCGGGGCUCAACCCCGCCCAGCCGUCGGAGCUGCCGGGCUAGAGUGGGCGAGAAGUGC
Molecule: ribosomal RNA, 305 nt
Filed under: uncultured bacterium
Lineage: Bacteria
Description: bacterial SSU rRNA
Rfam family: Bacterial small subunit ribosomal RNA
Source: RNAcentral